Molecule: ribosomal RNA, 514 nt
Filed under: uncultured bacterium
Lineage: Bacteria
Description: bacterial SSU rRNA
Rfam family: Bacterial small subunit ribosomal RNA
Source: RNAcentral
UAGUCCACGCCCUAAACGAUGCUAACUCGAUAUUUGGACUUCGCGUCUGAGUGUCCAAGGGAAACCGAUAAGUUAGCCACCUGGGGAGUACGUUCGCAAGAAUGAAACUCAAAGGAAUUGACGGGGGCCCGCACAAGCGGUGGAGCAUGUGGUUUAAUUCGAUGAUACGCGAGGAACCUUACCAGGGCUUAAAUGUAGAUUGACAGGUUUAGAGAUAGACUUUCCUUCGGGCAAUUUACAAGGUGCUGCAUGGUUGUCGUCAGCUCGUGCCGUGAGGUGUCAGGUUAAGUCCUAUAACGAGCGCAACCCCUGUUGUUAGUUGCCAGCGAGUCAAGUCGGGAACUCUAACAAGACUGCCAGUGCAAACUGUGAGGAAGGUGGGGAUGACGUCAAAUCAUCACGGGCCCUUACGUCCUGGGGCUACACACGUGCUACAAUGGUAGGGUACAGAGAGCAGCCACAACGCGAGUUGGGAGCGAAUCUAUAAAACCUAUCACAGUUCGGGAUCGGGAGU